Molecule: long non-coding RNA, 2145 nt
Organism: Cyprinus carpio carpio
Lineage: Eukaryota; Metazoa; Chordata; Actinopteri; Cypriniformes; Cyprinidae
Source: Ensembl
AUGGUUUCGGGAUUGAUUUUUAUGCUGCAAAUGUGUAUUUUUGUAGUAGCGUGCGGCGCAUAUACUGUUACAAUCAUUCAUUGGUGUGGUGACUAUACAUUUUCGUGGGGCAGAAACCGGUAUCACGACUUUUUUUUCUCUCUUUUUUAUAAAAUUAAUCCCCUGAAACCAUACUUUCCAGCGCAGGCAAACCGCUGGAUGGAUAACCCAGUUUCGUCAAAAUUCAAAGAUGAGGGAUUUGUAUUCAAAUAUCGGACGGCCCUCUACGUUGUAAAGCGACGAAUAGGGGGUACCCUCGCCGUCGGCUUAUGGACGUGAGGGGGAAAUGACCAAACAGCAGUAUGUGAUCGAAAAUUAUAAAAUAUCCCACCUAAAUUAAGGCAUGUAUUAAGCAUACAGCAAAUACACAGUCCUGCAAAUAUGCCAUUUUAAUGUAACGUUAGCCCAAAAUUAUAUAAAAAAGAGAGAAAAAAAAGUCGUGAUACCGGUUUCUGCCCCACGAAAAUGUAUAGUCACCACACCAAUGAAUGAUUGUAACAGUAUAUGCGCCGCACGCUACUACAAAAUACACAUUUGCAGCAUAAAAUCAAUCCCCGAAACCAUACUUUACAGCGCAGGCAAACCGCUGGAUGGAUAACCCCAUUUCGUCAAAAUUCAAAGAUGAGGGAUUUGCACUCAAAUCUAUCAGACGACCCUCUACGUUGUCAAGCGACGAAUAGGGGGUACCCUCAACGUCGGCUUAUGGACGUGAGGGGGAAAUGACCAAACGGCAGUAUGUGACGAAUAGGGGUGAGACUGUGUUGCCAACACAUAUGUCCUGUCAGUCAUCAGCUAUACCCCAGGAGGAAUAUGAAACUGUCAACAAUAAAACCCAAGAACAAUGCAUCAAGGCUGCAAAUCACAGUCCAGUACAAAACAUGAACAUAUCAGACACAUGCCUCUCAAUAAAACAGGAAAGGUCAAAAGGUCAAGAUUUGACUAGUUAGCCAGUGCUAAACUGAAAAAAAAAAUCACAUCCCACAUAAAAACACAUCACAAUAUAAAAAAAAAAAACGUAUGGCAAUCUACUCUUUUCUAACCACUUAACUUAGUGUCCAGACAUGAUGUGGUUUUGCCACUUUAAUGCACAUGUAAUGGAAAGACACAGAUAUUUUCAUUUAAAUGAAUCAGAGCUGUGUCAGGAAGUUGUAUUUACCUCAUGUCCUAUCAUCUGUCUGUCUAUCCGUCUAUAUAUCAAUAUAUCUCUAUUUGGAAGUAUAUGAGUAGAAUCAUUAUUUAUUUAUUUAUUUAUUUAUUUAUUUAUCAGUGCAUUUUACAUUAUUUAAAGGAAUACUUUCUUAUUCUCACAAAAAAUAUAUAUAUAUAUAUUAAUAAUAAAAAUAAAUAAAAAAAUAAAAAAAAUAAUCAUGCAGUUGCCAUUAUACAAUGGGGACCAGGGGUUGCCAAAAAGCACCACAAAAAUAGUCCAAAUGAUAGACUGUGCAAUAUUCCAAGGUUUUUUUUUUUUUUUUUGAAGCUAUACAAAAGUUUUGUAUGAAGAACAGACUGAUCUUGCCUGACAGCCACUGGUCAUUAUGAACAUUUGUUUUUAUGGCAUGAGCUGUGCAAUAAUUCUUCAAAAAUGUUUUAUUUUGUGUUUCACUGAAAACAAAUUUACAACAUAUAGGUUUGGAACAACAUGAGGGUGAGUAAAUAAUGACAAUUUUCAUUUUUGAUUGAACAAUCCCUUAAAAAACUCUAACAUUAUGAUGAUGAAUGACUAUAUGAUCAUAAUGUGCUUUCAGCACCCUCUUAUUUGCACUACCGAGAAAGCUUACAAUUGUGUGGCCAAAAGGAUAUGGUGCAAUAGAAGGAGAUGAAUUUAUCAAACUGUUUGGACAUCCACAACAAAAACUCACUCAUUGGUUGUAAUGUUUCUCUCCUCUACUGGUUUGAUUACCUCCUUAACAUGUACUCGCGUUUUACUCCUUGCCAGGAGCAAGAGAUAUUUUAUUGCACAUCUGUUCGUCUUUAAACACCCUGAGGAUGCUGUGGAUUGAAGAUGAGGAUCAAAGAGAGGUGAGUCUAUCACACUCAAUCUAGUUCACUAGUGCAGCAACACAUACUCCACGAGUAACACUGGCGUUCAGAAGAUAACCAAUGACG